RNAcentral lists this ribosomal RNA (432 nucleotides) under uncultured bacterium. RNAcentral describes it as "partial 16S ribosomal RNA". It matches the Rfam family "Bacterial small subunit ribosomal RNA", at positions 29 to 506 of the family's 1533-position model. The record is from RNAcentral.
AACGAACGCUGGCGGCAUGCCUAACACAUGCAAGUCGAACGAGACCUUCGGGUCUAGUGGCGCACGGGUGCGUAACGCGUGGGAACCUGCCCUUAGGUUCGGAAUAACUCCCCGAAAGGGGUGCUAAUACCGGAUAAUGUCUUCGGACCAAAGAUUUAUCGCCUUUGGAUGGGCCCGCGUUGGAUUAGCUAGUUGGUAGGGUAAAAGCCUACCAAGGCGACGAUCCAUAGCUGGUCUGAGAGGAUGAUCAGCCACACUGGGACUGGGACACGGCCCAGACUCCUACUAGAGGCAGCAGUGGGGAAUAUUGGAAAAUGGGCGAAAGACUGAUCCAGCAAUGCCGGGUGAGUGAUGAAGGGGUUAGGGUUGUAAAGAUCUUUUACCCGGGAUGAUAAUGACAGUACCGGGAGAAUAAGCUCAGGCUAACUCGGU